This is a long non-coding RNA of Candoia aspera, 813 nucleotides long. RefSeq lists it as uncharacterized. The record is from RefSeq and is a predicted model, not a curated record. Lineage: Eukaryota; Metazoa; Chordata; Lepidosauria; Squamata; Candoiidae. The transcript is spliced from 2 exons.
CCUGCCCCCGCCUCUUCGCGACGGAGCAGGAGCUUUAAGGCGCGCGCGGGAGAUGGCGGGUUAUAAAACUGACGCUCGGCUCAAAGCGGGGAUGGGUGGGCCUGCGAAGCAACUGCUUCCCCGUGGGCGGGCGGCUAGGAAAGUUCCCCGACUCUUCUGCUGUUGGAGGAAGAAAACCAAGAUUCAAGAUCUCGCGAGGAGGCGCUUAGACGCGACUGAGGCUGCGAGAAGCCCAGGAAGGUUUUACGCUGAGGCGGGCGGCUUAUAGAAGGAAGGAGCGAUCUCCUUUUGCUGCGGAGGUGUAUCCAUUCGAUUCCAGGAAAAAGCAGCUGAGAACUUCUCAGUUAUCAAAAUAUAUUGCUUUUUAUUGGUCCAAACCUCCAUGAUGUCGAAGAUGUCCUCCGUUGGGAAAAAAACACAAUCCCCGCACAAAAAUAGUCCAUACAAGAUAAUACAAACAAGAAAUGUAAUGAAGAGUGUAGCUGCUUGCAUUGGUCUUACCACAAUUCUGAGAAAAUGCUCGUGAAGAACGGGUAAAAGGAAUAUUUGCACAAUUUCUUUUGACUGGUAGAGCCAGAAGCCUGUCAUCUGGAAACAACCUAAGUCAUAUAACUCACACUUUUUGACAGAUUGAAGAUUUGGUGGCAGAAUCUGCUUUCUUACUACAAAAUGGCAUUAAGAAAGCAGACUGGAAUUUACUGAUGAAGUUGUAAUAACCAUGAUCAUACUAAGUCAUGAUUUGUUUUACAAAUCACAAUGGGUGGAUUUUUACAAUAAACUAAAAUCAAAUAAGCCACAUAUUAUGUGAACCAG